GGGCCAAGAACAAUAGAAACU
RNAcentral lists this microRNA (21 nucleotides) under Oryctolagus cuniculus (rabbit). RNAcentral's name for it is "ocu-miR-12095-5p". Lineage: Eukaryota; Metazoa; Chordata; Mammalia; Lagomorpha; Leporidae. The record is from miRBase by way of RNAcentral.